CUAAGGUAGCAUAGUCAUUUGUUGUUUAAUUGAUAACUGGAAUGAAAGGUUAAACUGGCUUAUUAAGUUUGUAAAAUUAAAUAGUAGAUUAAAGUUAAGGUAAGAAUGCUUUAAUUUUCUAGGGGACGAUAAGACCCUAGAAGCUUAACAAGAGGAGGGAUUUGUGUUAGAAGCUAGUUUGUUUUACUGGGGCGGUAAAAGUAGUUAAGCUAUUGGUUAUUUAAAAGAUCCUUUAAAUAAAGAAAGAAUGGGAAAGUUACUCUAGGGAUAA
Molecule: ribosomal RNA, 271 nt
Filed under: Gammarus balcanicus
Lineage: Eukaryota; Metazoa; Arthropoda; Malacostraca; Amphipoda; Gammaridae
Description: partial 16S ribosomal RNA
Source: RNAcentral